RNAcentral lists this ribosomal RNA (486 nucleotides) under uncultured bacterium. RNAcentral describes it as "partial 16S ribosomal RNA". It matches the Rfam family "Bacterial small subunit ribosomal RNA", at positions 30 to 507 of the family's 1533-position model. The record is from RNAcentral.
AUUGAACGCUGGCGGCAUGCCUUACACAUGCAGGUCGAACGGCAGCACGGGUGCUUGCACCUGGUGGCGAGUGGCGAACGGGUGAGUAAUACAUCGGAACAUGUCCUGUAGUGGGGGAUAGCCCGGCGAAAGCCGGAUUAAUACCGCAUACGAUCCACGGAUGAAAGCGGGGGACCUUCGGGCCUCGCGCUAUAGGGUUGGCCGAUGGCUGAUUAGCUAGUUGGUGGGGUAAAGGCCUACCAAGGCGACGAUCAGUAGCUGGUCUGAGAGGACGACCAGCCACACUGGGACUGGGACACGGCCCAGACUCCUACGGGAGGCAGCAGUGGGGAAUUUUGGACAAUGGGCGAAAGCCUGAUCCAGCAAUGCCGCGUGUGUGAAGAAGGCCUUCGGGUUGUAAAGCACUUUUGUCCGGAAAGAAAUCCUUGACUCUAAUACAGUCGGGGGAUGACGGUACCGGAAGAAUAAGCACCGGCUAACUACGUG